CCUACGGGGUGCAGCAGUGGGGAAUAUUGCACAAUGGGGGAAACCCUGAUGCAGCGACGCCGCGUGAGCGAUGAAGUCUUUCUGUAUGUAAAGCUCUAUCAGCAGGGAAGAAAAUGACGGUACCUGACUAAGACUCCCCGGCUAACUCCGUUCCAGCAGCCGCGGUUAUACGUAGGGGGCAAGCGUUAUCCGGAUUUACUGGGUGUAAGGGGAGCGUAGACGGCUGUGCAAGCCAGAUGUGAAAGCCCGGGGCUCAACCCCGGGACUGCAUUUGGAACUGUGUGGCUGGAGUGUAGGAGAGGCAGGCGGAAUUCCUAGUGUAGCGGUGAAAUGCGUAGAUAUUAGGAGGAACACCAGUGGCGAAGGCGGCCUGCUGGACGAUGACUGACGUUGAGGCUCGAAAGCGUGGGGAGCAAACAGGAUUAGAUACCCCUGUAGUC
This 440-nucleotide ribosomal RNA is filed under the name uncultured bacterium. RNAcentral's name for it is "partial 16S ribosomal RNA". It matches the Rfam family "Bacterial small subunit ribosomal RNA", at positions 338 to 795 of the family's 1533-position model. The record is from RNAcentral.